AUUUUUUGCUUUACAUUAAGUCCUGUGCUUAAUUUUCUUCAAAAUUUGUUGAAGUUUGUCAUACACACAAUGGCCAGUUAAAAUAUUUUAUUUCCCCUCUCUCUUUCAGAAAUGGAGAACAGUGACUGACUUGUGUGGCCAGUGGUACACAAUUAUGGCACAGUGGGAAGAAAGUAGCAGCAUGUGAGGGCAAUAAAAGUUUUUUUCAGAGAGAAGAAAUGGCAAGGGAGACAGAUUUUCAUUUUCCUCAGUCCCUUAAAUUAACACCUUUAAGCCGAAUUAUGCUGAAAAAUGAAAAUGUAUAUGUAUGAAGAGUGCACACUAACUUUUUCAAGAUAGACUGAUGUUCAAAGAAAACAAAGACAUGUGACAGAAGAUAGUACAACAAAAGCUAAAAACUGUGUCGAGAUGAUUUCAAUGUCACACACCAUACGAUGACAUUUUUUAGAUGCUGCAUACCAAUUCAGUUCCCAAUGAUGUGGAAUGUGGGAUGUCAUACCGGGAUGAUCACAGUUGAUAAUCUUGCACACAUUUUAAACUAUUCUUAUAAGACUCGAGCAGCUUUGAGUAAUCAACAGCAAGUGGAGGAGAGCCGUUUAUAAGUAAUAAAUGCAAUAUGAAGGGACUUGGCA
RNAcentral lists this long non-coding RNA (632 nucleotides) under Vulpes vulpes (red fox). Its description in RNAcentral is "lncRNA (ENSVVUG00000014329.1)". Lineage: Eukaryota; Metazoa; Chordata; Mammalia; Carnivora; Canidae. The record is from RNAcentral.